RNAcentral lists this ribosomal RNA (465 nucleotides) under Vreelandella stevensii. RNAcentral describes it as "partial 16S ribosomal RNA". It matches the Rfam family "Bacterial small subunit ribosomal RNA", at positions 338 to 795 of the family's 1533-position model. The record is from RNAcentral. Lineage: Bacteria; Pseudomonadati; Pseudomonadota; Gammaproteobacteria; Oceanospirillales; Halomonadaceae.
CCUACGGGGGGCUGCAGUGGGGAAUAUUGGACAAUGGGGGCAACCCUGAUCCAGCCAUGCCGCGUGUGUGAAGAAGGCCCUCGGGUUGUAAAGCACUUUCAGUGAGGAAGAACGCCUGGUGGUUAAUACCCAUCAGGAAAGACAUCACUCACAGAAGAAGCACCGGCUAACUCCGUGCCAGCAGCCGCGGUAAUACGGAGGGUGCGAGCGUUAAUCGGAAUUACUGGGCGUAAAGCGCGCGUAGGUGGCUUGAUAAGCCGGUUGUGAAAGCCCCGGGCUCAACCUGGGAACGGCAUCCGGAACUGUCAAGCUAGAGUGCAGGAGAGGAAGGUAGAAUUCCCGGUGUAGCGGUGAAAUGCGUAGAGAUCGGGAGGAAUACCAGUGGCGAAGGCGGCCUUCUGGACCGACACUGACACUGAGGUGCGAAAGCGUGGGUAGCAAACAGGAUUAGAUACCCUUGUAGUC